This 271-nucleotide long non-coding RNA is filed under the name Mytilus galloprovincialis (Mediterranean mussel). The record is from RNAcentral. Lineage: Eukaryota; Metazoa; Mollusca; Bivalvia; Mytilida; Mytilidae.
AUGAAAUUAGAUAGAAGUUGCUGGGGGUCACCCUCUCUGUUCAAUUUGAGAAUGUACUAUUAUAUUGUAAACGGUCCAGAUCCCCACCUCUAAACCAUAUAUUUUCUUGUAGGGGACAAUAAAACAAAUCAAAUGAAAUGUAGGUUAAGUCCCUGGGAGUCACCACCACCCCCUCCUGUUUGAAAACUUGUAAAUGGUGGAGAUCCCUACUCGUAAGCCAUAUAUAUUCUUGUAUGGGACAAAAUCAAAUCAAAUCAAAUCAACAUGGGAC